This 497-nucleotide ribosomal RNA is filed under the name uncultured bacterium. Its description in RNAcentral is "partial 16S ribosomal RNA". It matches the Rfam family "Bacterial small subunit ribosomal RNA", at positions 28 to 507 of the family's 1533-position model. The record is from RNAcentral.
GAUGAACGCUGGCGGCGUGCCUAAUACAUGCAAGUAGAACGCUGAAGGAAGGAGCUUGCUCUUUCCGGAUGAGUUGCGAACGGGUGAGUAACGCGUAGGUAACCUGCCUGGUAGCGGGGGAUAACUAUUGGAAACGAUAGCUAAUACCGCAUAACAGUAGAUGUUGCAUGAUAUCUACUUAAAAGGUGCAAUUGCACCACUACCAGAUGGACCUGCGUUGUAUUAGCUAGUUGGUGAGGUAACGGCUCACCAAGGCGACGAUACAUAGCCGACCUGAGAGGGUGAUCGGCCACACUGGGACUGAGACACGGCCCAAACUCCUACGGGAGGCAGCAGUAGGGAAUCUUCGGCAAUGGACGGAAGUCUGACCGAGCAACGCCGCGUGAGUGAAGAAGGUUUUCGGAUCGUAAAGCUCUGUUGUAAGAGAAGAACGAGUGUGAGAGUGGAAAGUUCACACUGUGACGGUAUCUUACCAGAAAGGGACGGCUAACUACGUG